This 391-nucleotide ribosomal RNA is filed under the name uncultured bacterium. Its description in RNAcentral is "bacterial SSU rRNA". It matches the Rfam family "Bacterial small subunit ribosomal RNA", at positions 28 to 399 of the family's 1533-position model. The record is from RNAcentral.
GAUGAACGCUGGCGGCGUGCUUAACACAUGCAAGUCGAACGGGAAUUACUUUAUUGAAACUUCGGUCGAUUUAAUUUAAUUCUAGUGGCGGACGGGUGAGUAACGCGUGGGUAACCUGCCUUAUACAGGGGGAUAACAGUCAGAAAUGACUGCUAAUACCGCAUAAGCGCACGGAACCGCAUGGUUCUGUGUGAAAAACUCCGGUGGUAUAAGAUGGACCCGCGUUGGAUUAGCUUGUUGGUGAGGUAACGGCUCACCAAGGCGACGAUCCAUAGCCGGCCUGAGAGGGUGAUCGGCCACAUUGGAACUGAGACACGGGUCCAAACUCCUACGGGAGGCAGCAGGUGGGGAAUAUUGCGCAAGUGGGACAAAGCCUGAUGCAGCAACGCCG